This 503-nucleotide ribosomal RNA is filed under the name Telsimia sp. CO731. RNAcentral describes it as "partial 16S ribosomal RNA". The stretch from base 377 to 503 matches the Rfam family "Bacterial large subunit ribosomal RNA", at positions 2473 to 2600 of the family's 2925-position model. Lineage: Eukaryota; Metazoa; Arthropoda; Insecta; Coleoptera; Coccinellidae. The record is from RNAcentral.
UUUUUGAAUAUAAUUUAAAGUAGGGCCUGCCCMCUGAAUUUUUAAAGGGCUGCAGUAUUUUGACUGUACAAAGGUAGCAUAAUCAUUAGUUUUUUAAUUGAAAGCUGGAAUGAAGGGUUUGAUGAGAAAAUUUCUGUCUUAUAAUUAUGUAUUGAAUUUUAUUUUUAAGUUAAAAAGCUUAAAUUUUUAUAAAAGACGAGAAGACCCUAUAGAGUUUUAUUAUUUAAAUAAUUUAAAAUUUAAGAAUUUAAAAUUUAGUAUUUUAGAAUAAUUUUAUUGGGGUGAUCGAAAAAUUUAGUAAACUUUUUUUAUUUUAAACCAUUAAUUUAUGAUUAUUUGAACCAUUUUUAUGUUUAUAAGAUUAAAUUACCUUAGGGAUAACAGCGUAAUUUUUUUAGAGAGUUCUUAUCGAAAAAAAAGAUUGCGACCUCGAUGUUGGAUUAAAAUAAACUUUUGGUGCAGAAGCUAUAAAGUUAAGUCUGUUCGACUUUUAAAAUUUUACA